AGGAUAGUAGUUAAUUAUAACGUUUGGGUUGCAUUCAAAAAGUGUUGAAUUUUUCAACCUAUCUCA
RNAcentral lists this transfer RNA (66 nucleotides) under Blattodea sp. MT-2014. RNAcentral's name for it is "tRNA-Ala". Lineage: Eukaryota; Metazoa; Arthropoda; Insecta; Blattodea. The record is from RNAcentral.